This 474-nucleotide ribosomal RNA is filed under the name uncultured soil bacterium. Its description in RNAcentral is "bacterial SSU rRNA". It matches the Rfam family "Bacterial small subunit ribosomal RNA", at positions 26 to 518 of the family's 1533-position model. The record is from RNAcentral.
AGGACGAACGCUGGCGGCGUGCUUAACACAUGCAAGUCGAGCGGUAAGGCCUUUCGGGGUACACGAGCGGCGAACGGGUGAGUAACACGUGGGUGAUCUGCCCUGCACUUCGGGAUAAGCCUGGGAAACUGGGUCUAAUACCGGAUAUGACCUCCUAUCGCAUGGUGGGUGGUGGAAAGAUUUAUCGGUGCAGGAUGGGCCCGCGGCCUAUCAGCUUGUUGGUGGGGUAAUGGCCUACCAAGGCGACGACGGGUAGCCGACCUGAGAGGGUGACCGGCCACACUGGGACUGAGACACGGCCCAGACUCCUACGGGAGGCAGCAGUGGGGAAUAUUGCACAAUGGGCGAAAGCCUGAUGCAGCGACGCCGCGUGAGGAUGACGGCCUUCGGGUUGUAAACCUCUUUCAGCAGGACGAAGCGCAAGUGACGUACCUGCAGAAGAAGCACCGGCUAACUACGUGCCGAGCAGCCGAC